This 67-nucleotide transfer RNA is filed under the name Marmota monax (woodchuck). RNAcentral's name for it is "tRNA.Ala". The record is from RNAcentral. Lineage: Eukaryota; Metazoa; Chordata; Mammalia; Rodentia; Sciuridae.
GGAUUGUGGCUCAGCGGUAGAGUGCUCCACUAGCACAGGCAUGACCUGGGUUCGAUUCUCAGCACCA